AGUCGAACGAAGACAUCUGAGUGCUUGCACUUGGAUGGACUGAGUGGCGGACGGGUGAGUAACGCGUGGGUAACCUGCCUUAUACAGGGGGAUAACAGUUGGAAACGACUGCUAAUACCGCAUAAGCGCACGGUAUCGCAUGAUACAGUGUGAAAAACUCCGGUGGUAUAAGAUGGACCCGCGUCUGAUUAGCUAGUUGGUGAGGUAACGGCCCACCAAGGCGACGAUCAGUAGCCGGCCUGAGAGGGUGAACGGCCACAUUGGGACUGAGACACGGCCCAAACUCCUACGGGAGGCAGCAGUGGGGAAUAUUGCACAAUGGGGGAAACCCUGAUGCAGCGACGCCGCGUGAGUGAUGAAGUAUUUCGGUAUGUAAAACUCUAUCAGCAGGGAAGAUAAUGACGGUACCUGACUAAGAAGCACCGGCUAAAUACGUGCCAGCAGCCGCGGUAAUACGUAUGGUGCAAGCGUUAUCCGGAUUUACUGGGUGUAAAGGGUGCGUAGGUGGUAUGGCAAGUCAGAAGUGAAAGGCUGGGGCUCAACCCCGGGACUGCUUUUGAAACUGUCAAACUAGAGUACAGGAGAGGAAAGCGGAAUUCCUAGUGUAGCGGUGAAAUGCGUAGAUAUUAGGAGGAACACCAGUGG
Molecule: ribosomal RNA, 645 nt
Filed under: uncultured bacterium
Lineage: Bacteria
Description: bacterial SSU rRNA
Rfam family: Bacterial small subunit ribosomal RNA
Source: RNAcentral